Molecule: small nucleolar RNA, 104 nt
Organism: Pongo abelii (Sumatran orangutan)
Lineage: Eukaryota; Metazoa; Chordata; Mammalia; Primates; Hominidae
Source: Ensembl
GUCCUUUUGCAGUUCGUAAGCAAGAUGAAUGGGUGUUCAUGCCCAUAUGUGAGAUGUGCCUCCCUCAAACCUUGUGAAGACGUCGGCACAUUACCUGUCUGACA